UGUCACACAAAGCUUUGAUCUCGGGUACCAAAACCUGAACUAAUGAUUUCAGUGCAUAAGCAAGGAAAUCUGACAUCUUCAAGUGACCGAAUCGUUCGUCUCGAGGAACAUAAAUGUCUAGACUGAUGAUUAAUGGUGCUCGACCAGUUUUUCCUCUUCGAGGGUAAGGGUACUCAGUGGAUCCUCCUAGAACAGGACGUGCAUAUUUUGGACCCUUGUCAGGAUCACCCAAGUCAUUGUAAAAUGCGUAGUCAUAAACUCUGUCCCAUUCCUUGAGCUCCCCUGUUCCAUAUUCUCUAAGAUUUAUCAACUCAUCUUGUCUGUACUUACGUAAUGGCUCUGGCGUAUUGUGCGGAAGGUGAUUAAAACUGUCUAUGAUGCAGUUCUGAACACGGAAUCUCUCACUGAAAGGGCGGAGGAUUUGGAUUGCCAGAGAUUGAGGUCGUCAACUCUUUGGCUAUGAUGAUAAUAACUAGUAAGUUAGUAACUAGUGGAAAAGUUUUAUCGGACAAUCUUAUGGAACUAAUUUUACUGAGUUUUUUUGGCUUCUACGCCCGAAAUCGCAGCGGCGCAGAUGUAGCCAAUUUGUGUUUUCUAAAGCAUGUAUUUUGCUCACACCUCGAAAGAAAUUUUCUGAACU
Molecule: long non-coding RNA, 640 nt
Organism: Papaver somniferum (opium poppy)
Lineage: Eukaryota; Viridiplantae; Streptophyta; Magnoliopsida; Ranunculales; Papaveraceae
Exons: 3
Source: RefSeq, a predicted model, not a curated record